This 468-nucleotide ribosomal RNA is filed under the name uncultured bacterium. RNAcentral describes it as "partial 16S ribosomal RNA". It matches the Rfam family "Bacterial small subunit ribosomal RNA", at positions 28 to 507 of the family's 1533-position model. The record is from RNAcentral.
GACGAACGCUGGCGGCGUGCUUAACACAUGCAAGUCGAACGGAAAGGCCCUGCUUUUGUGGGGUGCUCGAGUGGCGAACGGGUGAGUAACACGUGAGUAACCUGCCCUUGACUUUGGGAUAACUUCAGGAAACUGGGGCUAAUACCGGAUAGGAGCUCCUGCUGCAUGGUGGGGGUUGGAAAGUUUCGGCGGUUGGGGAUGGACUCGCGGCUUAUCAGCUUGUUGGUGGGGUAGUGGCUUACCAAGGCUUUGACGGGUAGCCGGCCUGAGAGGGUGACCGGCCACAUUGGGACUGAGAUACGGACCAGACUCCUACGGGAGGCAGCAGUGGGGAAUAUUGCACAAUGGGCGGAAGCCUGAUGCAGCAACGCCGCGUGCGGGAUGACGGCCUGCGGGUUGUAAACCGCUUUCGCCUGUGACGAAGCGUGAGUGACGGUAAUGGGUAAAGAAGCACCGGCUAACUACGUG